This 569-nucleotide ribosomal RNA is filed under the name Fusarium redolens. RNAcentral describes it as "eukaryotic LSU rRNA". The stretch from base 205 to 358 matches the Rfam family "5.8S ribosomal RNA". Lineage: Eukaryota; Fungi; Ascomycota; Sordariomycetes; Hypocreales; Nectriaceae. The record is from RNAcentral.
AGGAAGUAAAAGUCGUAACAAGGUCUCCGUUGGUGAACCAGCGGAGGGAUCAUUACCGAGUUUACAACUCCCAAACCCCUGUGAACAUACCUUACUGUUGCCUCGGCGGAUCAGCCCGCUCCCGGUAAAACGGGACGGCCCGCCAGAGGACCCCUAAACUCUGUUUCUAUAUGUAACUUCUGAGUAAAACCAUAAAUAAAUCAAAACUUUCAACAACGGAUCUCUUGGUUCUGGCAUCGAUGAAGAACGCAGCAAAAUGCGAUAAGUAAUGUGAAUUGCAGAAUUCAGUGAAUCAUCGAAUCUUUGAACGCACAUUGCGCCCGCCAGUAUUCUGGCGGGCAUGCCUGUUCGAGCGUCAUUUCAACCCUCAAGCCCUCGGGUUUGGUGUUGGGGAUCGGCGAGCCUUUCUGGCAAGCCGGCCCCGAAAUCUAGUGGCGGUCUCGCUGCAGCCUCCAUUGCGUAGUAGUAAAACCCUCGCAACUGGAACGCGGCGCGGCCAAGCCGUUAAACCCCCAACUUCUGAAUGUUGACCUCGGAUCAGGUAGGAAUACCCGCUGAACUUAAGCAUA